AACGAACGCUGGCGGCGUGCUUAACACAUGCAAGUCGAGGGCAUCAGGAGGAGCAAUCUUUCUGGUGACCGGCGAACGGGUGCGUAACACGUGAGCGACCUACCCUGGUGUGGGGGAUAGCCGGCCCAACGGCCGGGUAAGACCGCAUACGCUUGUUGGAGUACCUGCUCUGGCAAGGAAAACCUGGGCAACCCAGGUGCACCGGGAGGGCUCGCGGCCUAUCAGCUUGUUGGCGGGUAAGUGGCCCACCAAGGCGAUGACGGGUAGCUGGUCUGAGAGGAUGGCCAGCCACAUUGGGACUGCGAGACGGCCCAG
This 315-nucleotide ribosomal RNA is filed under the name uncultured bacterium. RNAcentral's name for it is "bacterial SSU rRNA". It matches the Rfam family "Bacterial small subunit ribosomal RNA", at positions 28 to 334 of the family's 1533-position model. The record is from RNAcentral.